AGAGACAAGGUCUUGCUCUGUCACCCUGGCUGGUCUUGAACUCCUGGCUUCAAGCAAUUCAUCCAUCUCAGCCUCCUGAGUAGCUGGGAUUACAGAAAAAACAGUGAAGCAUAGACAGUUUUUGCAAGAGGCCCAAGAUCAUACAUCAAAUAUGUGCACAGCCAGGACCUGAACCAGUUGAUAUCUACAAAUGCCUGGCUUUUGCCACUGGGCUCCUUCAGUCGUGCUGGUGAUUGCUGGGAAGAGAUGGAGAUAAGCAGCCUUGACUCACUCCGGAUGAAAAAAAUUCCUCUUCCUUUUUGCCUCACUUUGUUUGGAGAAGACAAAAUUUUCUUUCAUUUAUUGACACAUUUUAUUUUUUUCUGAAGAAUGUCAUGGAACUGGAAUAUCACUUGAAAGAACAUGAGUACUCUGUGGAUAACGUGUUCUCCCACUGCAUACAUUAUUUCAAACAACUGUUUAUUUUAUUUUAUUUUUGAGACAGGGUCUCACUCUGUCA
Molecule: long non-coding RNA, 499 nt
Filed under: Homo sapiens (human)
Lineage: Eukaryota; Metazoa; Chordata; Mammalia; Primates; Hominidae
Description: non-protein coding LINC02506:14
Source: RNAcentral